CGGGGCGGGAUACGCUACGGGUGGUAACCCGGUUGCUGGCGAUUGGGACAGACUUGCGCCCCUCAAUUGAGCGCAGCGUUACUCAGGGUCCGAGUUGGCCACAGGGCUACCGCGCCUUGGGCAUCUGCCCGCAAGUUGAGCCCCGUUAGACUGUCUGGGAGCGAAGACGGGUCAGGCCGACUGGAUGAGGGGCAGCGCAUCCAGUGGUUCGCAUGUGGGCGGGUCUUCCUCUGCGUGUUUGGGAAGUUCCCACGAACGACUGGGUCCCUGGACUUUUGAAUGAACCUGGGGAGAUUGUAAAGUCACUCCCUGAGCUGGGGACGCCUCCGGGACUUGAUGUUGACUUUCCUGAGGAAAGGCCAGAUGGUCUGGGGAGACCAACCUGUAUCUAAAGCGAUUGUUCCUUAUGUUGUACCUAGUGGGGCCUAGUAGGAAAAGGAGCCUGGAGCCCAGGUUCCUGUGCUGUCUGGGUGGUGAUGUUUGAGGAUUCACAGGCCAGAAGUCAGACCCCAAGGUGGACCUAGCCUCAAGAACCUGCUUCUGUUGGAAUGUAACGGUAGGUGAGAAGUCCUAGGAGACCCUGCUGGGCUGACCUGUGCUGCAAGUCCUGCCUCCUGUCACUCCUGCCCUAGGCCUUUUCCUGGCCUCUGCACAUUGAGAGCUCUUUUCUGUCAACCUCCCAACCAUCUCUUAGCCUGGGGCACCUGCUGCAGCAUCUGCUAAGUACUACCCUUGUGAGAACACCCUUACAUGGGUAUUGCCCUGGGUGCCUCUCUGUUAGUUCAGGUGACCAUCAAGUGUGCCUUCAAAUGAGGACUAAGUGUUCGGAGGCAUAAAGUUCUCUUGGGAUUAAGGGACAAUCCUGACCAUGUAAACACUCUUCAG
This 885-nucleotide long non-coding RNA is filed under the name Cricetulus griseus (Chinese hamster). RNAcentral describes it as "lncRNA (ENSCGRG00015040098.1)". The record is from RNAcentral. Lineage: Eukaryota; Metazoa; Chordata; Mammalia; Rodentia; Cricetidae.